ACGAGUUCAGACUCGUGGCGAAUAGCUCAGUAACACGUGGCCAAACUACCCUUCGGAACACAAUACCCUCGGGAAACUGAGGCUAAUAGUGUAUACCAUACCACCACUGGAAUGAGUGGUAUGCCAAACGCUCCGGCGCCGAAGGAUGUGGCUGCGGCCGAUUAGGUAGACGGUGGGGUAACGGCCCACCGUGCCAAUAAUCGGUAUGGGUCAUGAGAGUGAGAACCCAGAGACGGAAUCUGAGACAAGAUUCCGGGCCCUACGGGGCGCAGCAGGCGCGAAACCUUUACACUGCACGACAGUGCGAUAGGGGGAUCCCAAGUGCACAGGCAUAGCGCCUGUGCUUUUCGGUACCCUAAGGCGGUACCAGAAUAAGGGCUGGGCAAGACCGGUGCCAGCCGCCGCGGUAAUACCGGCAGCCCAAGUGAUGGCCGAUCUUAUUGGGCCUAAAGCGUCCGUAGCUGGCCGCGCAAGUCCAUCGGGAAAUCCACCUGCUCAACAGGUGGGCGCCCGGUAGAAACUGCGUGGCUUGGGACCGGAAGGCGCGACGGGUACGUCCGGGGUAGGAGUGAAAUCCCGUAAUCCUGGACGGACCGCCGAUGGCGAAAGCACGUCGCGAGAACGGAUCCGACAGUGA
This 637-nucleotide ribosomal RNA is filed under the name Halorubrum ezzemoulense. Its description in RNAcentral is "bacterial SSU rRNA". It matches the Rfam family "Archaeal small subunit ribosomal RNA", at positions 62 to 700 of the family's 1478-position model. The record is from RNAcentral. Lineage: Archaea; Methanobacteriati; Methanobacteriota; Halobacteria; Halobacteriales; Haloferacaceae.